RNAcentral lists this ribosomal RNA (497 nucleotides) under uncultured bacterium. Its description in RNAcentral is "partial 16S ribosomal RNA". It matches the Rfam family "Bacterial small subunit ribosomal RNA", at positions 28 to 507 of the family's 1533-position model. The record is from RNAcentral.
GAUGAACGCUGGCGGCGUGCCUAAUACAUGCAAGUCGAGCGAACGGACGAGAAGCUUGCUUCUCUGAUGUUAGCGGCGGACGGGUGAGUAACACGUGGAUAACCUACCUAUAAGACUGGGAUAACUUCGGGAAACCGGAGCUAAUACCGGAUAAUAUUUUGAACCGCAUGGUUCAAAAGUGAAAGACGGUCUUGCUGUCACUUAUAGAUGGAUCCGCGCUGCAUUAGCUAGUUGGUAAGGUAACGGCUUACCAAGGCAACGAUGCAUAGCCGACCUGAGAGGGUGAUCGGCCACACUGGAACAGAGACACGGUCCAGACUCCUACGGGAGGCAGCAGUAGGGAAUCGUACGCAAUGGGCGAAAGCCUGACGGAGCAACGCCGCGUGAGUGAUGAAGGUCUUCGGAUCGUAAAACUCUGUUAUUAGGGAAGAACAUAUGUGUAAGUAACUGUGCACAUCUUGACGGUACCUAAUCAGAAAGCCACGGCUAACUACGUG